GAUGAACGCUAGCUACAGGCUUAACACAUGCAAGUCGAGGGGCAGCAUUUUAGUUUGCUUGCAAACUGAAGAUGGCGACCGGCGCACGGGUGAGUAACACGUAUCCAACCUGCCGAUAACUCCGGAAUAGCCUUUCGAAAGAAAGAUUAAUACCGGAUAGCAUACGAAUAUCGCAUGAUAUUUUUAUUAAAGAAUUUCGGUUAUCGAUGGGGAUGCGUUCCAUUAGUUUGUUGGCGGGGUAACGGCCCACCAAGACUACGAUGGAUAGGGGUUCUGAGAGGAAGGUCCCCCACAUUGGAACUGAGACACGGUCCAAACUCCUACGGGAGGCAGCAGUGAGGAAUAUUGGUCAAUGGGCGAGAGCCUGAACCAGCCAAGUAGCGUGAAGGAUGAAGGCUCUAUGGGUCGUAAACUUCUUUUAUAUGGGAAUAAAGUUUUCCACGUGUGGAAUUUUGUAUGUACCAUAUGAAUAAGGAUCGGCUAACUCCGUGCCAGCAGCCGCGGUAAUACGGAGGAUCCGAGCGUUAUCCGGAUUUAUUGGGUUUAAAGGGAGCGUAGGUGGAUUGUUAAGUCAGUUGUGAAAGUUUGCGGCUCAACCGUAAAAUUGCAGUUGAAACUGGCAGUCUUGAGUACAGUAGAGGUGGGCGGAAUUCGUGGUGUAGCGGUGAAAUGCUUAGAUAUCACGAAGAACUCCGAUUGCGAAGGCAGCUCACUAGACUGUCACUGACACUGAUGCUCGAAAGUGUGGGUAUCAAACAGGAUUAGAUACCCUGGUAGUCCACACAGUAAACGAUGAAUACUCGCUGUUUGCGAUAUACAGUAAGCGGCCAAGCGAAAGCAUUAAGUAUUCCACCUGGGGAGUACGCCGGCAACGGUGAAACUCAAAGGAAUUGACGGGGGCCCGCACAAGCGGAGGAACAUGUGGUUUAAUUCGAUGAUACGCGAGGAACCUUACCCGGGCUUAAAUUGCAACAGAAUAUAUUGGAAACAGUAUAGCCGUAAGGCUGUUGUGAAGGUGCUGCAUGGUUGUCGUCAGCUCGUGCCGUGAGGUGUCGGCUUAAGUGCCAUAACGAGCGCAACCCUUAUCUUUAGUUACUAACAGGUCAUGCUGAGGACUCUAGAGAGACUGCCGUCGUAAGAUGUGAGGAAGGUGGGGAUGACGUCAAAUCAGCACGGCCCUUACGUCCGGGGCUACACACGUGUUACAAUGGGGGGUACAGAAGGCGGCUACCUGGUGACAGGAUGCUAAUCCCAAAAACCUCUCUCAGUUCGGAUCGAAGUCUGCAACCCGACUUCGUGAAGCUGGAUUCGCUAGUAAUCGCGCAUCAGCCAUGGCGCGGUGAAUACGUUCCCGGGCCUUGUACACACCGCCCGUCAAGCCAUGAGAGCCGGGGGUACCUGAAGUGCGUAACCGCGAGGAGCGCCCUAGGGUAAAACUGGUGAC
Molecule: ribosomal RNA, 1444 nt
Filed under: uncultured organism
Description: 16S ribosomal RNA
Rfam family: Bacterial small subunit ribosomal RNA
Source: RNAcentral